RNAcentral lists this ribosomal RNA (483 nucleotides) under uncultured Acidobacteriota bacterium. RNAcentral describes it as "SSU rRNA". It matches the Rfam family "Bacterial small subunit ribosomal RNA", at positions 246 to 745 of the family's 1533-position model. Lineage: Bacteria; Pseudomonadati; Acidobacteriota. The record is from RNAcentral.
UAGUUGGUAGGGUAAGAGCCUACCAAGGCAGAGAUCGGUAGCCGGCCUGAGAGGGCACACGGCCACACUGGCACUGAAACACGGGCCAGACUCCUACGGGAGGCAGCAGUGGGGAAUCUUGCACAAUGGGGGAAACCCUGAUGCAGCGACGCCGCGUGAGCGAUGAAGCCCUUCGGGGUGUAAAGCUCUUUCGGCAGGGAAGAUGAUGACGGUACCUGCAGAAGCAGCUGCGGCUAACUACGUGCCAGCAGCCGCGGUAAUACGUAGGCAGCGAGCGUUGUUCGGAGUUACUGGGCGUAAAGGGUGUGUAGGCGGUUGUUUAAGUUUGGUGUGAAAUCUCCCGGCUCAACUGGGAGGGUGCGCCGAAUACUGAAUGACUUGGAGUGCGGGAGAGGAGAGUGGAAUUCCUGGUGUAGCGGUGAAAUGGGUAGAUAUCAGGAGGAACACCGGUGGUGUAGACGGCUCUCUGGACCGUAACUGACG